UACGAAGGGGGCUAGCGUUGUUCGGAAUUACUGGGCGUAAAGCGCACGUAGGCGGAUGUUUAAGUUAGGGGUGAAAUCCCAGGGCUCAACCCUGGAACUGCCUCUAAUACUGGGCAUCUAGAGUCCGAGAGAGGUGAGUGGAAUUCCGAGUGUGGAGGUGAAUUUCGUAGAUAUUCGGAGGAACACCAGUGGCGAAGGCGGCUCACUGGCUCGGUACUGACGCUGAGGUGCGAAAGCGUGGGGAGCAAACAGG
RNAcentral lists this ribosomal RNA (253 nucleotides) under uncultured bacterium. Its description in RNAcentral is "partial 16S ribosomal RNA". It matches the Rfam family "Bacterial small subunit ribosomal RNA", at positions 524 to 776 of the family's 1533-position model. The record is from RNAcentral.